This 498-nucleotide ribosomal RNA is filed under the name Septoria sonchi. Its description in RNAcentral is "eukaryotic LSU rRNA". The stretch from base 162 to 315 matches the Rfam family "5.8S ribosomal RNA". Lineage: Eukaryota; Fungi; Ascomycota; Dothideomycetes; Mycosphaerellales; Mycosphaerellaceae. The record is from RNAcentral.
GCGGAGGGAUCAUUACCGAGUGAGGGCCUCCGGGCUCGACCUCCAACCCUUUGUGAACACAACUUGUUGCUUCGGGGGCGACCCUGCCGUUUCGACGGCGAGCGCCCCCGGAGGCCUUCAAACCCUGCAUCUUUGCGUCGGAGUUUAAGUAAAUUAAACAAAACUUUCAACAACGGAUCUCUUGGUUCUGGCAUCGAUGAAGAACGCAGCGAAAUGCGAUAAGUAAUGUGAAUUGCAGAAUUCAGUGAAUCAUCGAAUCUUUGAACGCACAUUGCGCCCUUUGGUAUUCCGAAGGGCAUGCCUGUUCGAGCGUCAUUUCACCACUCAAGCCUGGCUUGGUAUUGGGCGCCGCGGUCGCUGAUCCGCGCGCCUCAAAGUGUCCGGCAGAGCUGUCCGUCUCUAAGCGUUGUGAUUUCAUUAAUCGCUUUGGAGUGCGGGCGGCCGCGGCCGUUAAAUCUUCCACAAGGUUGACCUCGGAUCAGGUAGGGAUACCCGCUG